RNAcentral lists this ribosomal RNA (266 nucleotides) under uncultured bacterium. RNAcentral's name for it is "partial 16S ribosomal RNA". It matches the Rfam family "Bacterial small subunit ribosomal RNA", at positions 355 to 612 of the family's 1533-position model. The record is from RNAcentral.
UAGGGAAUCUUCCACAAUGGACGCAAGUCUGAUGGAGCAACGCCGCGUGAGUGAAGAAGGCUUUCGGGUCGUAAAACUCUGUUAUUGAAGAAGAACGUGUGUGACAGUAACUGGUCAUGCAGUGACGGUAUUCAAUCAGAAAGUCACGGCUAACUACGUGCCAGCAGCCGCGGUAAUACGUAGGUGGCAAGCGUUGUCCGGAUUUAUUGGGCGUAAAGCGAGUGCAGGCGGUCUUUUAAGUCUGAUGUGAAAAGCCUUCGGCUUAA